UGUCGGCAUCAAAUUUUCAUAUGCUACAA
RNAcentral lists this non-coding RNA (29 nucleotides) under Mus musculus (house mouse). The record is from RNAcentral. Lineage: Eukaryota; Metazoa; Chordata; Mammalia; Rodentia; Muridae.